This 824-nucleotide long non-coding RNA is filed under the name Equus caballus (horse). Its description in RNAcentral is "lncRNA (ENSECAG00000046240.1)". Lineage: Eukaryota; Metazoa; Chordata; Mammalia; Perissodactyla; Equidae. The record is from RNAcentral.
GCCCGUGGCCUCUAGAGCCCCGAGUCUCGGCUCUUCCGUUCACUAGCUGUGUGACCAUGGGUAAGGUGCCCAUCCUCAGUUUCUCCAUCUGCGGAGUGAAGAUGAUGACUUCUUAGUGUUGUUGUGGACUCCUGUGAGAUAGCGAGUAGAGAGAGAGAAGCGGAAGGUAGAAAGGCCAAAUACUCAGAUGCGACCAUGCUCCCAACCCAGUGAAGAUCAAGGUCGUGACAGGAAGCUAUUCCACCUCACCUUGGCCUGCAGGGCAAGCCCCAUGCUGUCUGGGGUUUCCCAGGAGGUUGCUAAGGGCAAAUGGGAAUGUGGAAUGUAGCCACCAUUUUGUACAAACAUUAGAUGCUCAAUAAACUUCUAAAGAGUUAGCAAUUUUAUGAGGACCAAGGACCAGAAGAACGUGGUCAGCAUUCCAGAUAAGGCAGGAUGGGGUUUUUGUGGGCUUGGUUCUUUUGCUUCAGCCAACUCAAAGGCUCAAGUAAAGUCUUGGAUCUUUACCCUGAACCAGCCAAGGCUUUGGAGUCACUGGCAGGAAUCAAGAGUAUGUAACUCUGGCAGAGCCACUAGCGGAAGAAUAGAUGGGGAGAAGCAUGUUACUAGUGGAAGGUCCAGACAUUCCAGUUCCUUCUUCAAACGCAGCUCACUAUUUAUGGGUGAAAUGGGAAAAAGGUUUAGGAUUGGCUUCAAAACAAAACGAAGGGAUAGAGGGAAGCGGGUGGGGGACCUGGGUAGAGGGUUGUAGACAGACUAGCAUCGCUCUCUGGCUUGAGAGGGGCCCCUAUGCACCAGGCAGCUAAUCAGCAGAAGACCCUGUA